Cinara cedri is the source of this 318-nucleotide non-coding RNA. NCBI's taxonomy places the organism in Eukaryota, Metazoa, Arthropoda, Insecta, Hemiptera, Aphididae. The record is from the annotation of a GenBank genome assembly.
AGUCACUGGUUAAAUUAAAUUUAAAACAAUUCAAUUAUCAUUGUCGCCGCGUUUAUCGCGUUUAUUGCAUUUUGGAUAUUACAAACUAUUUUUAUACGCUUGAUAGUCGCCGUGACGAGUUUAUCGCAAUGACAUCAUUAACUAUUUUUUUUUUCGACGGUGACCGAUGACGGAUAACAGAGAGUAACGGUAAAUCGAGUUUCUACUGUGUUUUAAAAUCAAUAUUUGUAAAUGUGACUAUACCUUUUAAGUGGCGUGGGCAGGAAUGGCUUCCUCGGAGAAAUAUUCUAUAAUAUUUUUUUUUUAAUCUAAAAACAA